Molecule: ribosomal RNA, 275 nt
Filed under: uncultured prokaryote
Description: partial 16S ribosomal RNA
Rfam family: Bacterial small subunit ribosomal RNA
Source: RNAcentral
UACGUAGGUGGCGAGCGUUGUCCGGAUUUACUGGGUGUAAAGGGCGCGUAGGCGGGACUGCAAGUCAGAUGUGAAAUUUUCCGGCUUAACCGGGAGCGUGCAUUUGAAACUGUAGUUCUUGAGUGAUGGAGAGGCAAGUGGAAUUCCUAGUGUAGCGGUGAAAUGCGUAGAUAUUAGGAGGAACACCAGUGGCGAAGGCGACUUACUGGACUGUAACUGACGCUGAGGCGCGAAAGCGUGGGGAGCAAACAGGAUUAGAUACCCCCGUAGUCCCU